Non-coding RNA from Bemisia tabaci, 815 nucleotides. Lineage: Eukaryota; Metazoa; Arthropoda; Insecta; Hemiptera; Aleyrodidae. The record is from RefSeq and is a predicted model, not a curated record.
CCCAUAGGAGGAUAAAUAAAUCGGAAGUUUAUUUUAUCGGAAAUAUAUUCAUCUCGGGACCGCGAGUGGUAUUCGUGUGCUUCAAGUGCAUUACCAUCAAUGCAGUUUCGUGUUCGGUACUUCAGUUUCGUGUUCGGUAUUUUAGUUUCGUGUUCGGUACUUUAGUUUCGUGUUGGUACUUUAUUUUCGUGUUCGGUACUUCAUUAUUAAAAUGUUUCUCAGUGAUUCAUUUCGUGAACAUAGAAGGUGCAGUGAAUAGUUGAACAGCCUUACUUUCCGCAAGUUUUCUAUCCGCCGAAAGUUUUCGUCAGCGAGCCUCUACUUUUUCUGUCCAGUGGAAUAGUUUGCCGUGAUUUGCAAUAAGUGGAGUUACUAUUUGUCACUCGUGUCGGUUGUCAUUGUGCGAAUUUUCGGAAGUGUUUAUUCUGUGAUUAUUUUUAUGAAAUUUGAUUUGAGGAUAUCGUUUUGGAAGUCAAUUUUCUCACGUGUAUUCCUCAGCGUUGAUUCGGCAACAUUCGAGAAGGGGAUGAACGAGGAUGGAAAUCUUCACCCUCCGCAUCAGAGCUGUUCCUGACCUUGCAGAUCAUCGCUUCUUCACGGGAUUUUCCUGUCCCUGCACCACUCCAAUCAUUAAUUUUGACGUUUCUAGAGAUUUUUUUUACACCUUCGGUGGCAACGGGAGGGGAUGUAAUAACAAAAAAAUCUCGCGUAUGGAAUAUCUGCAAUUCAAAGGAAGCAAAAGGAUUUGCAGAACAUCGCUGAAGAGGAACAACAUACAACGAAAAACACGGAUGGAGGCCUCAAAAAACGUGAGA